UAGGGAAUCUUCCACAAUGGGCGAAAGCCUGAUGGAGCAACGCCGCGUGUGUGAUGAAGGGUUUCGGCUCGUAAAACACUGUUGUAAGAGAAGAAUGACAUUGAGAGUAACUGUUCAAUGUGUGACGGUAUCUUACCAGAAAGGAACGGCUAAAUACGUACCAGA
This 165-nucleotide ribosomal RNA is filed under the name uncultured bacterium. RNAcentral describes it as "partial 16S rRNA". It matches the Rfam family "Bacterial small subunit ribosomal RNA", at positions 355 to 512 of the family's 1533-position model. The record is from RNAcentral.